RNAcentral lists this ribosomal RNA (425 nucleotides) under uncultured bacterium. RNAcentral describes it as "partial 16S ribosomal RNA". It matches the Rfam family "Bacterial small subunit ribosomal RNA", at positions 354 to 796 of the family's 1533-position model. The record is from RNAcentral.
GUGGGGAAUAUUGGGCAAUGGGCGAAAGCCUGACCCAGCAACGCCGCGUGAAGGAAGAAGGUUUUCGGAUCGUAAACUUCUAUCCUUGGUGAAGAUAAUGACGGUAGCCAAGAAGGAAGCCCCGGCUAACUACGUGCCAGCAGCCGCGGUAAUACGUAGGGGGCAAGCGUUGUCCGGAAUGAUUGGGCGUAAAGGGCGCGUAGGCGGCCCGGUAAGUCUGAAGUGAAAGUCCUGCUUCUAAGGUGGGAAUUGCUUUGGAUACUGUCGGGCUUGAGUGCAGGAGAGGUAAGCGGAAUUCCCGGUGUAGCGGUGAAAUGCGGAGAGAUCGGGAGGAACACCAGUGGCGAAGGCGGCUUACUGGACUGUAACUGACGCUGAGGCGCGAAAGUGUGGGGAGCAAACAGGAUUAGAAACCCCGGUAGUCC